GUUUUUUGGGCAAAGGUUGCAUGAAACAGAGCAGGGUUCUGCCCUUCGGGCAAAACCAGGUUCGGCCGCCGAAGGAAGGUUCGGCCGCCGAACCCCUUGUGGAGGCAGUUUCGGCUGCCAAAGGUUACCCCCGAAAGCUAGGCUUUCGGUUUAGAAAGAGACUUUCGGCCGCCGAAAGAGGGAGUUCGGCCGCCGAAAGUGUGUGAGUUUCGUCUCUGGACGAGACCUUCGGCCGCCGAAGGUGCCGCCGAACAUGCAUGAGUUUCGUCUCUGGAGUGGGGUUUCGGCCGCCGAACCUGCCGCCGAAAGUGCCCUGUCCAGCUUUCUUUUGCAUGUUUUAUG
RNAcentral lists this long non-coding RNA (342 nucleotides) under Manihot esculenta (cassava). RNAcentral's name for it is "long non-coding RNA (MESC_LNC011293)". The record is from RNAcentral. Lineage: Eukaryota; Viridiplantae; Streptophyta; Magnoliopsida; Malpighiales; Euphorbiaceae.